Molecule: ribosomal RNA, 484 nt
Filed under: uncultured bacterium
Lineage: Bacteria
Description: partial 16S ribosomal RNA
Rfam family: Bacterial small subunit ribosomal RNA
Source: RNAcentral
AUUGAACGCUGGCGGCAGGCCUAACACAUGCAAGUCGAGCGGAUGAAGGGAGCUUGCUCCUGGAUUCAGCGGCGGACGGGUGAGUAAUGCCUAGGAAUCUGCCUGGUAGUGGGGGAUAACGUCCGGAAACGGGCGCUAAUACCGCAUACGUCCUGAGGGAGAAAGUGGGGGAUCUUCGGACCUCACGCUAUCAGAUGAGCCUAGGUCGGAUUAGCUAGUUGGUGGGGUAAAGGCCUACCAAGGCGACGAUCCGUAACUGGUCUGAGAGGAUGAUCAGUCACACUGGAACUGAGACACGGUCCAGACUCCUACGGGAGGCAGCAGUGGGGAAUAUUGGACAGAGGGCGAAAGCCUGAUCCAGCCAUGCCGCGUGUGUGAAGAAGGUCUUCGGAUUGUAAAGCACUUUAAGUUGGGGGGAAGGGCAGUAAGUUAAUACCUUGCUGUUUUGACGUUACCAGCAGAAUAAGCACCGGCUAACUUCGUG